This 253-nucleotide ribosomal RNA is filed under the name uncultured bacterium. RNAcentral's name for it is "partial 16S ribosomal RNA". It matches the Rfam family "Bacterial small subunit ribosomal RNA", at positions 524 to 776 of the family's 1533-position model. The record is from RNAcentral.
UACGAAGGGGGCUAGCGUUGCUCGGAAUGACUGGGCGUAAAGGGCGCGUAGGCGGAUGACACAGUCAGAUGUGAAAUUCCCGGGCUUAACCUGGGGGCUGCAUUUGAUACGUGUUGUCUAGAGUGAGGAAGAGGGUUGUGGAAUUCCCAGUGUAGAGGUGAAAUUCGUAGAUAUUGGGAAGAACACCAGUGGCGAAGGCGGCUCACUGGCCCGGUACUGACGCUGAGGUGCGAAAGCGUGGGGAGCAAACAGG